Molecule: ribosomal RNA, 427 nt
Filed under: uncultured bacterium
Lineage: Bacteria
Description: partial 16S ribosomal RNA
Rfam family: Bacterial small subunit ribosomal RNA
Source: RNAcentral
UGGGGAAUAUUGGACAAUGGGCGAAAGCCUGAUCCAGCCAUGCCGCGUGUGUGAAGAAGGUCUUCGGAUUGUAAAGCACUUUAAGUUGGGAGGAAGGGCAUUAACCUAAUACGUUAGUGUUCUGACGUUACCGACAGAAUAAGCACCGGCUAACUCUGUGCCAGCAGCCGCGGUAAUACAGAGGGUGCAAGAGUUAAUCGGAAUUACUGGGCGUAAAGCGCGCGUAGGUGGUUUGUUAAGUUGGAUGUGAAAUCCCCGGGCUCAACCUGGGAACUGCAUUCAAAACUGACUGACUAGAGUAUGGUAGAGGGUGGUGGAAUUUCCUGUGUAGCGGUGAAAUGCGUAGAUAUAGGAAGGAACACCAGUGGCGAAGGCGACCACCUGGACUAAUACUGACACUGAGGUGCGAAAGCGUGGGGAGCAAACA